GGAGGCGUGGCCGAGUGGUUGAAGGCAGCAUCCUGCUAAGAUGUUGUGGGAGAAAUCCCAUCGGAGGUUCGAAUCCUCCCGCCUCCGCCA
Molecule: transfer RNA, 90 nt
Filed under: Candidatus Jorgensenbacteria bacterium
Lineage: Bacteria; Candidatus Joergenseniibacteriota
Description: tRNA-Ser
Rfam family: tRNA
About the family: Transfer RNA (tRNA) molecules are approximately 80 nucleotides in length. Their secondary structure includes four short double-helical elements and three loops (D, anti-codon, and T loops). Further hydrogen bonds mediate the characteristic L-shaped molecular structure. tRNAs have two regions of fundamental functional importance: the anti-codon, which is responsible for specific mRNA codon recognition, and the 3' end, to which the tRNAs corresponding amino acid is attached (by aminoacyl-tRNA synthetases). tRNAs cope with the degeneracy of the genetic code in two manners: having more than one tRNA (with a specific anti-codon) for a particular amino acid; and 'wobble' base-pairing, i.e. permitting non-standard base-pairing at the 3rd anti-codon position.
Source: RNAcentral